GAUGAACGCUGGCGGCGUGCUUAACACAUGCAAGUCGAACGAACCUUCGGGUUAGUGGCGGACGGGUGAGUAACGCGUGAGAAUCUGCCCUCAGGAGGGGGAUAACGGUUGGAAACGACCGCUAAUACCCCAUAUGCCGAUAGGUGAAAUGAAUUUCGCCUGAGGAUGAGCUCGCGUCUGAUUAGCUUGUUGGUGAGGUAAUAGCUCACCAAGGCUUCGAUCAGUAGCUGGUCUGAGAGGAUGAUCAGCCACACUGGGACUGAGACACGGCCCUGACUCCUACGGGAGGCAGCAGUGGGGAAUUUUCCGCAAUGGGCGAAAGCCUGACGGAGCAACGCCGCGUGAGGGACGAAGGCCUCUGGGCUGUAAACCUCUUUUCUCAAGGAAGAAGAUAUGACGGUACUUGAGGAAUAAGCCACGGCUAAUUCCGUGCCAGCAGCCGCGGUAAUACGGGAGUGGCAAGCGUUAUCCGGAAUUAUUGGGCGUAAAGCGUCCGCAGGCGGCCUUUCAAGUCUGCUGUUAAAGCGUGGAGCUUAACUCCAUUAUGGCAGUGGAAACUGAUCGGCUUGAGUAUGGUAGGGGCAGAGGGAAUUCCCGGUGUAGCGGUGAAAUGCGUAGAUAUCGGGAAGAACACCAGUGGCGAAGGCGCUCUGCUGGGCCAUUACUGACGCUCAUGGACGAAAGCCAGGGGAGCGAAAGGGAUUAGAUACCCCUGUAGUCCUGGCCGUAAACGAUGAACACUAGGUGUCGGGGGAAUCGACCCCUUCGGUGUCGUAGCUAACGCGUUAAGUGUUCCGCCUGGGGAGUACGCACGCAAGUGUGAAACUCAAAGGAAUUGACGGGGGCCCGCACAAGCGGUGGAGUAUGUGGUUUAAUUCGAUGCAACGCGAAGAACNUUNNCAGGGUUUGACAUCCUGAGAACCUCUUAGAAAUUUGAGGGUGCCUUCGGGAAUUCAGUGACAGGUGGUGCAUGGCUGUCGUCAGCUCGUGUCGUGAGAUGUUGGGUUAAGUCCCGCACCGAGCGCAACCCACGUUUUUAGUUGCCAGCAUUUAGUUGGGCACUCUAGAAAGACCGCCGGUGAUAAACCGGAGGAAGGUGUGGAUGACGUCAAGUCAUCAUGCCCCUUACACCCUGGGCUACACACGUACUACAAUGCUACGGACAAAGGGCAGCAAACUCGCGAGAGCUAGCAAAUCCCAUAAACCGUGGCUCAGUUCAGAUCGUAGGCUGCAACUCGCCUACGUGAAGUAGGAAUCGCUAGUAAUCGCAGGUCAGCAUACUGCGGU
RNAcentral lists this ribosomal RNA (1287 nucleotides) under uncultured bacterium. Its description in RNAcentral is "bacterial SSU rRNA". It matches the Rfam family "Bacterial small subunit ribosomal RNA", at positions 28 to 1363 of the family's 1533-position model. The record is from RNAcentral.